Long non-coding RNA from Meriones unguiculatus (Mongolian gerbil), 1705 nucleotides. RefSeq lists it as uncharacterized. Lineage: Eukaryota; Metazoa; Chordata; Mammalia; Rodentia; Muridae. The transcript has 2 exons. The record is from RefSeq and is a predicted model, not a curated record.
AAUACAGACAGUCUACAGAUUGUUUCCAUUUUCAGUGGAUGUAGGGGACGGUCCAAAAGGUGAAGAGCUCUUUCCACAAGCAGAGUCCGAGUGCCCUUACAGCUGCUCACCAUCUAGGCAGAUGUGGGCAUGGCAUCACGAUUCUGCUUUUACUCUGUGUGAGACCAGGAUAGCCAGCCUUAGAUGUCCCGGAGGAAUGGUACAGAAUGCCAGAGUUGGGAAGCAAUUUUUAGUCUUGGGAGUCCAGGGGAAUCACCUCCCAGAAAGAAACUUAAGUUGACAAGAAAUUGUGCCUCUUGGGAAAUCCUCACGCCACUACAGUUUUCCCUUCUAGGCUGAAAAUAGUUAGGACAAACUGCCGUCUGUUAUACAACAGUCCAGGUAUUGAGGAAGGCCCCAGAACUCUGUGGGGUGGGGAAUAGCAGAAUCCCUCCCCCCCCACACACAAAUGAACCUAAUAUGUGCAUUAGAUCUCCUUCCACAUACACACACAAAGUAUUUGGGGAAGUAAUGUGACUGUACCUUGAGAACUGGGAAGUCUAAACUGGUCCUAGGGAAUCAAACCCUGGGAGAGUCACGGGAGCACUAGCAGCCAGACAGAGGGAUGUGUUUUCCUCACAUCCUGAAGUUUGCUUCCACGUUCUCCUGGCUCCCCUUCCCACCUCCUGCUUGUCCACCAUCACCCCAGCCUUCUCUCUCUCCUCAGACUCACAGACCACUUUCCCUACUCAAAAUAAAAAUGAGAUCCGUGUUGGAAUGCUUUAUUAUUCUUAGGACAUGACUGAGUACAUGAUGGCUCCUUUGAUCUCACACUGCAUUUACACUCUUUGGUCUUUGUUCUUGUUUGGUUGGUGCUGUGAACUGGAGCACAGCCUCUCUUGUGCACUCUACCUCUUAAACACUCUGCCACCAAGGCACAGCAUUGGCCCACUGGCAGGGUGAAGAUGUGUCUCAGACUAGAUGCUCUGAGAUUCUGUUCCUGAAGUGUCAGAAGAUAGAAGCAGCCUCAAUGUGCUCCUGUUCAGUUAUUCUAAAUGACCUCGGAGAGCAUCUUUCUGGGUGACAUCGGGAUUCCAUGCUGUCACAUAUGUGGAACAGGAUUGCUCAUAGGUAGAAGAACCUUGUUACCUGAGCCAUCAGCUGCCACCUGCUCUAGUGGAUGGUCAGGGUGAGACCAUCUAGUGGAUGGUCAUCCUGAGCCCAGGAUGAGAGUGCAGGGAAACCUCAUACCUUUGCCAGUUUGUAAUACUGUGUGGUGGCUUGAAUGAAAAUGACCCCCAAAGACUCAUGGGAAGUUAGGAGGUGUGGCCUUGCUGCAGUAGGUGUGGCCUUGCUGGAGGAUGUGUAUCACUGGGGGUGGAAUUUGGGGCUUCAGAAGUUCAAGCCAGGCCCAGUGUUGCUCUUUCUUCCUGAUGCCUGUAGAUCUGAAUGUAGAACUCUCAGCUCCUUACCCAGCACCAUGUCUCCUUCAGGCUGCCGUGCUUCCUGUCAUGAUGACAAUGGACUACACUUUUGAACUGUAAACCAGCCCCAAUGAAGUGUUUUUCUGUAUGAGAUUUGCUGUGGCCAUGCUGUCUCAUCACAGCAACAGAAACCCUAAGACAGACUGUCUAUUGAUGAUCCACAGCAACAGAGCUGCAAAAUUACAUGUGCUUUUUGUUUUCUGGAGAAAUGCACAAAAUAAAAAUGUAUGAUUUAAAAGGAA